AUUGAACGCUGGCGGCAGGCCUUACACAUGCAAGUCGAACGAGCGGCGGACGGGUGAGUAAUGAAUGGGAAUCUUCCUGGUGGAUGGGGAUAACGACGGGAAACUGUUGCUACUAACGCCUACCAUGGGAUGAGCCCGAAUGGGAUUAGCGAGUUGGUGGGGUAACGGCCUACCAAGGCGACGAUCUCUAGCUGGUCUGAGAGGAUGACCAGCCACACGGGGACUGAGACACGGCCCAGACUCCUACGGGAGGCAGCAGGGGGGAAUAUUGCACAAUGGGGGCAACCCUGAUGCAGCCAUGCCGCGUGUAUGAAGAAGGCCUUCGGGUUGUAAAGUACUUUCGGUAGGGAGGCGUUACCGACAGAAGAAGCACCGGCUAACUCCGUGCCAGCAGCCGCGGUAAUAC
This 406-nucleotide ribosomal RNA is filed under the name uncultured bacterium. RNAcentral's name for it is "partial 16S ribosomal RNA". It matches the Rfam family "Bacterial small subunit ribosomal RNA", at positions 30 to 526 of the family's 1533-position model. The record is from RNAcentral.